AUGCAAGGCGCCGUCUUAGCCUUGCCUUCCCAGGAUCGCUCCCACACCUAUCACGUUCGUGAUCGGCCUCCUCAACUUUGUAUCGAUCGAAAGGCAGGGCGGCAGAGCCCCCAACCAACUGGAGUAGUUACGUCCAGUAUGUCCCCCCCGAUUCCUGACAUGCUAUGAUACCCAGGGUGGGUAGGAGCGGGUCGAGUCCGUAUCACCGCGGAACAACUGCAUCGUCCGGAUCUGAUCUAUCUACUCAGCAAUUCAUCCGGUGACGUCAUCAUCCGGUGA
This 279-nucleotide ribosomal RNA is filed under the name Triticum aestivum (bread wheat). RNAcentral describes it as "partial small subunit ribosomal RNA". The record is from RNAcentral. Lineage: Eukaryota; Viridiplantae; Streptophyta; Magnoliopsida; Poales; Poaceae.